UUCAUUAAAUCGAUUCUCUUCAUUAGAAUCAACACUAACACAAAAGAAACAAGAAAACUAAGAAGAAGAAAUAGCACCAAGCUUAUCCCUGGCUCAGUACUAUCGCAGUCUGACCCUCGGCUUACAACUCUCACAGUUUAGCCCUCGGCUCACAACUCUCAUAGUCUGGCAUUUUCUUCCCCUCUCCCAUCCUCAUUAUACUACCCCGAGAUACCAACUCCUAUACUACAGAUGAUAACUACUUUUCCUGACUAUUCAUCCAUUCUACCUGCUGAACCACCUUUUCAACAAUUAUCUAUCCCUGUUUACACUAUACACUAGGUAUCUACAUUUUGAAAAUAACUACUUAUUCUACAUAGCCCCACUCCUAACUGUGCAGCGUCCUCGCAAACACUCAAUUGAUACCUAUCUAAAAAUUAUCUAACAAAACUCUACAAAAAUUGCGAUCCCUCUGGCCUAUCUAAUUAAUCAAUUGCCGCAGUAUCUAUUAUUGGUUCUACCGAUUCCGGUUCCAACUACAAAUCUUCGUCCUCCUCCAAUCCUUCCAUUGGCUCUUGCCUCAACUGAGCUGAAAGGUCUUCAUUGUACUUGCCUAGUUCACGGACUUGAGCUUCCAAUUUCAGGAUCUGGGCAUCUCUGAAUUCCAAUUGGCGCUGAAAGUGACUCCUCUCUUCUGGAACUUCGGGAACUGGCAACGUCGAUACUUGUACUUGACCAAUAUUGACUAAAUCCUCUACUAAUCUUGUCACCUCGGCAUUCAAGACCUCAAUUUCAGCCCUUAACCGCUCCGUUUCACAUCUGUGUUAGUCACUCAAUACCAAUUUCUCUUGCGCCAAUAACUCGGUCUUUUCUUGUUCCAUUACCAACUGACCCUUCGCUUUUUUCAAUUUCAAAAUUGAAUGACUGUGAGCUCGGAAUAGUUCUUGCCUGUGGGUCUCCACCAUGCAUUCUCUUUCUUGUGACUGGCUCCUCACUGUUAACUCUUAACUGGAACUACUACUCUCGAAAACACAAGAAAUACAAGAAAAUGGCACUCCAGCCAACCCAAAACAACACCACAGAAUGACUUUAACUGGUGCACCACUCCUAUUCUUUUACUACCUGGUGAUAAUACCAAUAUGUUACCCAUAUUGUCCAUGAAAGAUAAUGAGAAGUAAUCUUUUUUGGUGGCCACAUUAAGUUUCUAAAAAUCCUGACAAUUUCCAUUCUUUUUCGGUACCAUCACGAUUGGCGACACCCAUGCACUAUGCGGAACAUGAUAAAUAAAAUCCAUGUCAAGAAGUUUGUCUAAUUCCUCUUUCACUAAAAGAGAAUAUUUUGGAUUAAGCUGAUGUUGCCUCUAUCGUACCGGUUUAGCAUUCUCCUCUAAAAUGAUACGAUGCUCACAGACUUCAACGGGAAUACCUUUUAAAUCAUCAUAAGUCCAAGUAAAAGCGGAUUUAUGAUGCAAGAAAAAUUUGGUCCAGCAGGUCAACUCUUGUUUCUUAAUACCUUCGUAGACCUUAAUUGUCCCAGGUUUUGCUGUGGUCGCCAAGUUGAUAGUUUGACAUAAAGGUGCAACGGUGAUGUUCUGUUUCAAUCCCCGCGCUGGUUUAAAGUCAGUCGGUAAGUUUGACAUGUAUGAAGUACUGAAUCUUGUGUCCAGGGCACUAACAUGGUGCACAUCAUACUUGAUCAUCCAAUCAGUACUAACAUAAUCCGAGUUUUUCGAGUCCGUCGGGUAUAUCAAGUAGUCCCCCGGACCUCCACAUUGGUACACCACUCCAGGAUAUAGUGCUGCCUCCACGAGCACCUCCGUAAUUGGUGCUACUGCAUCGUCAUCGGAGCUAAGCUCAUUGUCCGACGUUAAUUCAGAUGCUGGCAAUUGAGACUCCCCGUGAUAGUGUACUGGGUACAUUUAUAACACCAUUUUGUCUCUGCCCUUGCCAAUUGUCAAAGUACCCCGACACCAAUCGUUUUUGGCCUUUGCUUGAUAAAGCCAAGGUUUGCCCAAUAAAAUGGGAUACGAUAAAGUCGAAUGUUGUAACCAAAAGAUGAUAUAGUCGAUUUCAUAUGCAAUACCGACAAUCAUAGUUUGAACACUCCAUAAGAUACCCAUUGGUUUAACCCGGCUAUGAUCUGCCAUUCGUAAUACCAAUGUUGUGGGUACUAAGUGUUUCAAAUCUAAAGCAUCCAUUGUAUCAACGUUCAUUAAAUUGAUGCUGGAACCACCAUCCACCUAAACACCCAAGAUCAUAACACUGUCAAUCAAAACAUCGAUGGUUGGUGCACUUGGAUCAAGGUUCAAACUGACUUCACAAACUUCUCUAUUACGGUGCCUAUGCUGUAUUAACGAUGAAUUCAAUGUAGAACGGCACUCUGGUGCGAUCGCUAGAAGUUGCUUCAUAGAAAUAGAAGGCCGAAUAGCAUCUAGAUCCUUCAAAAUAUCAUAGGGUUUCAUAUUUAGGAUAAUUUCCAAUGCCCUUUUUCUUUUCAUUGGUUUGAGUUUAACUCCGUGAGGUAAGAUAUUCUUCCGCUCUAGACUCGGAAUUGGAAUAACAAUCGGGGCUUCCUUGGAAAUCCUGCCCCUAAGAGGAUCUUUCAACGGAUAGGACGUUUUUUGGAACUGCAUAGAGAUUAGAACUGCUUGGAACGGAACUGAAGCCUUCGUAAUUGAGACCUCAUUGAGUUGUGCCACCGAAUCAGGUCUCAUAUUAGGUACGAAGCCCGUAACAAGACCUGGAUUGAUUGGUCCCGGCCAAUUAGUAUGUGGAAUCAAAUUAGGUUCCUCAGUCUGUUGAGGUUUCAAUAUUGGGAUACGUCCCAAUACUGAUAUUGGUUUAUUUAGCCUCGUGGACGGCGCUACUUGCUCUCAUGCGAUUGGUUCAUCCAUGUCUUGAAUUGAAUUCUUAUCUUUUUGUUGGCCUCUGGUAAGCACUACGUUCACCACCUUGACAUGAUGUAGUAGUGCGUCUCGUUAAACAGGGCCUUUGUCCUCCGCCGAUUGGCUUGUUUAUAUUUGCUGGUCCCGAUUAUUAUAAUUAAAAGGUGCAUUGCAGUGCUGAUAAGUGUGACCAGAUUGCUUAUAAUUUCUACAUAUUGGAGCAUAGUCAUCACUGGCCCUUGGAUUAGAACAUUCACUCGCAUAAUGUCUGAUUUGUCUGCAACUAUAGCAAUGAAGUGGUCUCCUGCCAACCCCUUCAGGAAUAAUGGGCAUCUCUACUGAUAUAUAACGGCUAGGUCUGUUCCAUGUCAGAUGAGUAAAGGAUCCUGGUUGACCCAUUGUUAUUGUAGAGCCUGGCAUUGGCUUCGUCAUGGGUGGAUAUUGAUGGUAUCUUGGUUGGUUCAUCGCCAAUCUGUGAGUAUUGGAUACACCUUCUUGGUAAAAUUUAGAGUUGAGGAAAUUAAAAUAAUUCCUGUUUUAUUUAUUCGCUCGAUUUCCAUUUCAACCAAACCUAUUAUUCAUCUGUACUUGAUUGACAUCCCACGAAGUUUGUUGAGUCAUUAUUUGGUUACUGAAUUGUUGUUGCUUCCAUAAAUUCCAACAGUUGGUGGUAAUAUACUUGCCCCCGCAAAAGGUACAUUGUAUAGUCAUUUGGGGUGGUGAAGGACAUUCUGUUACUAAAUGACCUUGCCCCUUACAAUUUCUGCAUCAGACAUUGGGACGCAUAUUGGUUGGUUUAUGUUUAUGUUUAUGUUUUUUUUUUUUUUUUUUUUUUUUUUUUUUUUUUUUUUUUUUUUUUUUUUUUUUUUAAUCCUUGGCCAGAUUCACAGUCAAUUCAUUCAUUUUUUUUUGUCAAUAUUAACAGUAAUGACUCAUUGGGAUCCCUUAAUACUAAUGCAUUUGGCAAUUCUUUUGUAGGUAUUGGUUUCUGAUACACGAAAUAAGGCGCAUACGGAUGUGAUGAUAAUGGUGGUACAGCUUGCAAUGGAAUGGCAUUUACUAUUCCCUGUGAAAUUGUACCGUAAUCAUUCCUUUCCAGAUAAUUUCCCGAUGCAUCAUUCUAAUUUGUCAUUUGAUAACCUCCUUGAGAUGGAAUCAUCGUGGCUCCAACUGUUAAGUUCUGGUCAUAGUGACAUUCCUCCCAUACUUUUGCUCACUCAAGAGAUGAUGCAAUGGUGGCUGAUUGGGCCUCCUUUACAAACAUUUUCAAUUCUGGUGGAUGUAGUCCAUUAACCAAUAUGGACAACACAAAUGAUUCCGACAUUUGGUUAUUGGGCCAUUUUUGAAGUAUAUCCGCUACACGACCAUAAUAUGACUGUACCGCUUCCCCUGGUACCAUUCUGUUGUUCAUUAAUUUUUUUCUAAGACGUUCUUCAAAACCAAUUGGUCGAAAAUGGGCUAAAAAUACAUUUUUGAAUGCCUCCCAAUUGAUAAAUCGUCCCACAGAUUGGCGGUUAUACCACUGAAACGCUGUGUCUUUCAAUGUCAUUGGCAGCCAUCUCAGCCAAAUGUCUUCUGUUCUUCCAUUAUUGGCUACACACGUCGUCAAGAAUUGAGACAAAUAUUGAUCUGGAUCCACUUGGCAAACCCCGAAAAGUAGGUAAUGGUGCGAUGCUAGUCGUUCGAUCAUCCACUGCACCCAUUUGAACUGCAAUUGGAACUACUGGUCCUCUGGACGUCAUUAAAGAUGCCGGUGUUCUGCUCAAUUUUUUAUUAAAAUAAAAACUGUCUACUGCAAAAGUCUUUAUCGGACUUCCAGGCCUUUCCGAUUGACUAUUAUUAUCUCCAAAUAAUUUUACUGGUUGAAUAUGAGGUGAAAACGACAGAUUUUGAUAUACUCUGAAUUGGUCUUUAUUGGCAAGUGAUUUAUGCCGAUCUUCAGAACCAAUCUUGUUAGGAUCGGACAUAUUUUCAAUUGAGAAGAUACCCAAUGGGGUACUUAAUUCCUCUAUGCCUUCCUCGUUUUUUGUUAACGGCUUCGAGAGGUUUGUUGGACUAUUAAUAGCGCUCCCUGCCAGUGCUCUUGGCAAUUUCUUUAACGGUAUGUAUUUUUGAAAUAUUAGAGGUCGAUCGUCUUUUGGGUACGAUCGAAUAUGCUGACAGGCAUGCAACCAUGGCUUAAUCCAACUUUGUCGAUGCUUCUUUAUCAAUUUGUGAUCUCGCUCAUUACGCAACAAAUUUCUUGCUUACGAUCGCUGUCGUAUUACGUGCUUUCCUGCUCGAGAACGCGCCGGGCGUCUGGCUGUAGAAGGUAGUAUGGAGAUUCGCCGAUAGUCAAGCAGUCUAUCAGUUUUUGACUGCUGAAAUAUAAACGACUGCAACAAUGUACCGUAAAACUAUACGGGUGCUCUUCGACUGCUUGUCGAAGUCCUUUUUGCCCCAGCCGGUAGGUCUCUAGACGUUACAGAGAACCCCGUACAACCCAAACUGUUAACCUUCAAUACUGCUUUGUACUUACGAUCUUGUAUCCACUGACUGUCUUGUUAGAUUAACCCAAUAAAUUUCAUUCACUCCGCAUACUCAAUCCUAUAGACACCCUUUUAAUCCUUCAAUCAGAGACGUAACUCGAUUUCACAAAACAGUCAAGAGUAUUCAAACCCACUUCAUUUAAAAAUCCCGAUUCACCAUUACAACACUGACUUCAGCAGCGAUUGCCUCAGUCUUCCCCAAAACUCUACGAAGAAGAAAAAUCCAAAUUCUAUGUCUUUCCUUCCCCGACCCGAAGCAUGAAGCUCCUCCCUCUAAUUCCCUUGAUCUUCAAAAACCUCCAAUAAAAAAAACCGAACUGGUAACCUUGCAGAAGCUUGAAAAAUCCUUCCCCUCCCCUGAUUCCUCCUCAAAAAAAAACCACCCCCAAAACUAUAUCCCACCUAAUCUUAUCCUCUGAAUUUCUUCAAUCUUCAGUCUUAGAUCCGGAAUUGGCUCCCACCUCAAGCUUGGAUCCGAAAUUGGCUCUUGCCGUCAAGCUUUCUCCUCCGUUUUUGCCUUUAAGAAAUCCUUUACCGAAAACAACGUUCCCUGAGACGGCACAGAGAACAGGACAGCCUGAAACAGAAUCGAACCCCGUAAUCGGGACCACAUUGAGUCGCCCGACCAAUUCAGGCCCUAUAUUGGGAAAGAUGCCCGUAGUAACCUGGAUGUUCCCGUAAUUGGGUCAAAUUGGUCCUCGCGUCAGAUUGGCUAAGACCCGUAGUAAGACCUGGAUUUCCCGUAAUUAGACUGCACUGGGUUGACCGGCCAAUUCAGGUCUCAUAUUGGAUAAGAGGACCCGGAUUGGAUUAUCGAAAUUGGAUCCAAUUGGCUCCUCGAACCCGUCUUGUGAAUUGGUCCUUCUCUUCCUGCUGACUCCCGUUAUUGGAAUCGAAUGGAGCAUUUCAGUAUGCCCCGGCUGACUGUAACGGAGUGACUGAACCUGACCACUCAGUAUUUGUACUGGAGUUGGUCGAUGCUCCCAAUAUUCGAGGUAACUGAAUAUUAAUAAAAUUCCCCUUUCUUUUUAUUUUCACUGUAUAAUCGUGUUACAACACGACAUCGCUCUGUUCUUUCCUUUGAUUACUUUAUUCUCUUUGUUGUUAAAUCCUCAUUCUUAAUAAUCAUACUCUUUCAUUAUUUCUGUAGAGUUUUCUUCUUAAUCUCUUUUAUUGCUUCGACAGUUAAUUCCUAUCACUCAAUAAUAUUGUCAAUCCCCGAUAGUGGCACCAAAAUGUGAUUGCUUGUUUUACUUAUUCCGAAAGAAACCUCCCAGUAUAAACUUGUAUAGGGGGAUUCGAACUUGGGGAAUGACCAUGUAUAUGAGCUCCAAUUGUUAGGGUCACACAAUUAACCGCUACUGCUGAAUGCUUACCAUACCAAAGAACACUUAACUUUUCCUCCUAUUGUCCACUCUUUCAUAUCAAUACAAUAACAUCCAUGACAACGAUUUCAGUACCCUAUGUAAUUCAUGAACACACAAGCAUAUCUCAAACCCUGGAAUGAACAACUUCCAAUCCACAGAAUCUAAUCAAGACAAUUCCUUCGAUUACAAUUCCUCUCUACUAAACUUACAACCUUGCGAUAAACAGUGACUAGAAACUUCCAUACAUCCUCAAUCUUUCACAACAAUUGUUAAACAGUUAUCCAUAAACAACUUCAUAAAUAAAACAUUAAUUCAUUAAAUCAAUUCUCUUCACUAGAAUCAACACUAACACAAAAGAAACAAGAAAACUAAGAAGAAGAGAUAGCACCAAGCUUAUCCCUGGCUCAGUACUAUCGUAGUCUGACCUUCGGCUUAUAACUCUCACAGUCUGGCCCUCGGCUCACAACUCCCACAGUCUGGCAUUUUCUUCCCCUCUCCCAUCCUCCUUAUACUACCCCAAGAUACCAAUUCCUAUAUUAUAGAUGAUAACUACUUUUCCUCACUAUUCAUCCAUUCUACCUGCUGAACCACCUUUUCAACAAUUAUCUAUCCCUGUU
RNAcentral lists this long non-coding RNA (7375 nucleotides) under Physcomitrium patens. Its description in RNAcentral is "long non-coding RNA (PPAT_LNC000790)". The record is from RNAcentral. Lineage: Eukaryota; Viridiplantae; Streptophyta; Bryopsida; Funariales; Funariaceae.